AUGUACACCGCAAAUUGCAAG
Molecule: small nuclear RNA, 21 nt
Filed under: Arabidopsis thaliana (thale cress)
Lineage: Eukaryota; Viridiplantae; Streptophyta; Magnoliopsida; Brassicales; Brassicaceae
Description: snRNA_02260
Source: RNAcentral